UCUAUAAUAGCUAAAUAUAUUUAAGCAUUUAAACUUUUAAUUUAAAAAUGAAUUAUAUAAUAUUCUUAUAGAA
This 73-nucleotide transfer RNA is filed under the name Megathrips lativentris. RNAcentral describes it as "tRNA-Lys". The record is from RNAcentral. Lineage: Eukaryota; Metazoa; Arthropoda; Insecta; Thysanoptera; Phlaeothripidae.